RNAcentral lists this long non-coding RNA (2530 nucleotides) under Sus scrofa (pig). RNAcentral describes it as "lncRNA (ENSSSCG00040045970.1)". Lineage: Eukaryota; Metazoa; Chordata; Mammalia; Artiodactyla; Suidae. The record is from RNAcentral.
AUAAGAAUUGAUGUUUAGAAUUUGGAAGGAAGGAAGGUUAUUUUUGUUUGUUUUUCAGGGCUUGAUAUAAGUCCCAACUACAGAGAAAAGUAAGAAGGAAAAAUGUUACUUUCGUAUAGUAGUGAACAAUAUUGUAUCAUAAAUCAAAUUGGACAGGAUUAGUCAUUUGUCAGCUUGUGUCCUGAUACCCUAUCGUGUAAAUGUGUGUGUGUUUGGGGGGGGGGCAUAUAUGUUCAGUGAGGCAGCCCCUAAUAUAAAAUUUAUUAGCUUUUACAGUGAUUUCUCCAUUAUUAAAGAAAAUUAUUGAGGAACCAAUGUAUUUCUUCACUUCUUAAGAAUGAAGCGAGGAAUGUUUGCUGGCUUCCAGGUUAGUACCACCCAGAAAUUUUUUUAAAAUAUGUUUUCUUAAAAGACAUAUACAUAUACACACACAUAAUAUAUUUUGGUAGGGGAGAUAGAGAAUCUUCGUUUUUGUGAACUGGAAGGUUUGAAAAGUAUAUUUAAAUAAUGUAUUCUUAUUUUUUUUUGUCUUUUUAGGGCCGCACCCAUGGCAUAUGGAGGUUCUCAGGCUAGGGGUCUAGUCAGAGCUAUUGCCACAGGCCUAUGCCUACACCAUAGCCACAGCAAUGCCAUAUCUGAGUCGCAUUUGUGACCUACACCACAGCUUAUGGCAAUGCCAAAUCCUUAACCUACUGAGCGAGGCCAGGGAUUGAACCCGCAACCUCAUGUUCCUAGUAGGAUUCGUUUCUGCUGCGCCACAAUGGGAACUCCUAAAUAAUGUAUUUUUAAUAUUGCUUGUGAAUAUACUGCUUAUUUUCAUCCAUAUUGGCUUUUUGCCUUUUGGGGGGUACUCAUUAUUUCAUAGUUAAUGAUUUUUAUGGAAAGGAGAUAAAAGUUGAUCAUGUUUUUGUUUUCUCUGGAAAAUUGGAAUGUACUAUUUUUGUCAUUUUAGAAUCUUUUUUUUUUUUUUUUAAUCCAGGGAGCCUCCUACAGAGAGUUGUCUCCAAGGAUAUUGAUACUUGUUAGUAGAUUGUGACUCUUGGUUCCAUCAACAACAACGCUACACUAUAGAGUAUGUCUUGUAUGGUUAAAAUAACUAUAUUAAGACAUUUGUUUGAAUAAGACUGGAAUAAAAAAAGAAAAUGACCUUCAUUUGGCAGACAUUGAGCCACCCAGUUGUGACAGGCAUUGAUGCCAUCCUGUCUACAGAAGCUGACAGUUUAGCCAAAAAUGAAGCAAUUAUCUUUGGUAUAGUGACCGUUACAAAAAGGGUUCCUUUUGCUGAUGGUAUCCAUUUCUGGCCAUCUGCAGAUGGCCUGUCACUUUGAGCUUCGAAUUUGGAGAGCGAAGUAGAUACAAGAAUGCAGGGAAUGUUACUCUGAAAUAAAAAAGGAAAAUUUAAGCUGCCUAUUGAGAACCAUGGUACCAUACUCUUUUCUCUUAAAAAAAAAAAACAAAAAAAACAAAACUAAUGUAUGUCAUAACACAGAGUUGCUCAAUUUGAGGGAUGUAUCCUACCCUCUUGAAGAAAAAAUAAAAUUCCUGUGGACUUCGAGUAUUGAUUGAAAUUAUUAUUUUAAUAUUACUUAAGUUCUCUUUUACUUACAUUACUUAUUAUGUUACUUAACAUAAUACAAACAUAAAACUGUAAUAUUUUAUGCUCAUAAUUCUUAUACUAAGUAAAACCAAAACAAAUGUACAAAUUAAAUAGAACUACAAAACCAUUACGAUUCAAAUGAACAUUGCAAUUCAAACCAACAUGGCUUUAAUGGGAUAGGUGACACUGCUUUGGUGAGCAACAUAGCUUUAAUGGGAUAGGUGACACUGCUUUGGUGAAAUAGUAUUGAUUUGGAGAAUUAUAGCAGAAAGAUGUUACCAAAAGUCUAGUUCUGUGGUUCUUCUGUUUCUGUAUUUGGAUUUUGGGAAUACUUACUCAGCAAAUGCCUGUUUACAUAAGUUACUCAAAGACUCUCAAUGCCUUUAUGUCUGUGACUAGAACUUAGGCAAAUCAAACCUACUCUUUGCCAAUGAGUAAGCUUGAAAUAGCACAUUGAAGCUGUAUCACUUGUCAGCUCUGUAAAACUUUAUUACUUAGAGAUAAUGUUCAGUUAAUUAAUAUCUUCAUUAAGUGGUAUCUGAUGGAACUAUUGCUAGGAUCAGGAAUAUAAGAACUCUUAUUAGAAAAUGAAGACUAUACUUACUUCUAGUAAAUUGAUAUGAGUUAAAACAGUCAAAGACGAUAUUGGGCUUUCCCACUACUUGGUUUAUAUAUAGUCUUCCAGUCAGCUUGCUUGACUUAAACCAACAAACUCAAUUUUACAUACAAACUAUUGCAUAAAAAACCUAAAGCAGUAUGUAGGUGCAGGGGUUCAUCCAAAAGGUGAAGACUAUCUUUAGAUUUCUUUUUAAAGGAUGGUCAUAAAAAUUAAAACAGGAGUUCCCGUCGUGGUGCAGUGGUUAACGAAUCUGACUAAGAACCAUGAGGUUGCAGGUUCGAUCCCUGCCCUUGCUCAGUGGGUUAAGGAUCUGG